RNAcentral lists this ribosomal RNA (496 nucleotides) under uncultured bacterium. RNAcentral's name for it is "partial 16S ribosomal RNA". It matches the Rfam family "Bacterial small subunit ribosomal RNA", at positions 28 to 506 of the family's 1533-position model. The record is from RNAcentral.
GAUGAACGCUGGCGGCGUGCCUAAUACAUGCAAGUCGAGCGAACAGAUGAGGAGCUUGCUCCUCUGACGUUAGCGGCGGACGGGUGAGUAACACGUGGAUAACCUACCUAUAAGACUGGGAUAACUUCGGGAAACCGGAGCUAAUACCGGAUAAUAUAUUGAACCGCAUGGUUCAAUAGUGAAAGACGGUUUUGCUGUCACUUAUAGAUGGAUCCGCGCCGCAUUAGCUAGUUGGUAAGGUAACGGCUUACCAAGGCAACGAUGCGUAGCCGACCUGAGAGGGUGAUCGGCCACACUGGAACUGAGACACGGUCCAGACUCCUACGGGAGGCAGCAGUAGGGAAUCUUCCGCAAUGGGCGAAAGCCUGACGGAGCAACGCCGCGUGAGUGAUGAAGGUCUUCGGAUCGUAAAACUCUGUUAUUAGGGAAGAACAAAUGUGUAAGUAACUACGCACGUCUUGACGGUACCUAAUCAGAAAGCCACGGCUAACUACGU